This 601-nucleotide ribosomal RNA is filed under the name Pungitius tymensis (Sakhalin sticlkeback). Its description in RNAcentral is "partial 16S ribosomal RNA". It matches the Rfam family "Bacterial large subunit ribosomal RNA", at positions 1803 to 2612 of the family's 2925-position model. Lineage: Eukaryota; Metazoa; Chordata; Actinopteri; Perciformes; Gasterosteidae. The record is from RNAcentral.
UUUAUCAAAAACAUCGCCUCUUGUAACCAAAAAAUAAGAGGUCCCGCCUGCCCUGUGACUAUAAGUUUAACGGCCGCGGUAUUUUGACCGUGCGAAGGUAGCGCAAUCACUUGUCUUUUAAAUGAAGACCUGUAUGAAUGGCACAACGAGGGCUUAGCUGUCUCCUUUUUCCAGUCAAUGAAAUUGAUCUCCCCGUGCAGAAGCGGGGAUAAAUACAUAAGACGAGAAGACCCUAUGGAGCUUUAGACACUAAAGUGGAUCAUGUCAAUAACCCCUAAACAAAGGAUUGAACCAAAUGGAACCCACCCUGAUGUCUUUGGUUGGGGCGACCGCGGGGAACUAAACAACCCCCAUGUGGAGUGGGAGCACCCCUCCUACAGCUAAGAGUUACGACUCUAAUAAACAGAAUUUCUGACCAAAAGGAUCCGGCAAAGCCGAUCAACGGACCUAGUUACCCCAGGGAUAACAGCGCAAUCCUCUUUUAGAGCCCAUAUCGACAAGGGGGUUUACGACCUCGAUGUUGGAUCAGGACAUCCUAAUGGUGCAGCCGCUAUUAAGGGUUCGUUUGUUCAACGAUUAAAGUCCUACGUGAUCUGAGUUC